AGCGGAAGGCCCUUCGGGGUACUCGAGCGGCGAACGGGUGAGUAACACGUGAGCAACCUGCCCCUGACUCUGGGAUAAGCCCGGGAAACUGGGUCUAAUACCGGAUACGACCGCCCCCGGCAUCGGGUGGUGGUGGAAAGUUUUUUCGGUUGGGGAUGGGCUCGCGGCCUAUCAGCUUGUUGGUGGGGUAGUGGCCUACCAAGGCGACGACGGGUAGCCGGCCUGAGAGGGCGACCGGCCACACUGGGACUGAGACACGGCCCAGACUCCUACGGGAGGCAGCAGUGGGGAAUAUUGCGCAAUGGGCGGAAGCCUGACGCAGCGACGCCGCGUGGGGGAUGACGGCCUUCGGGUUGUAAACCUCUUUCAGCAGGGACGAAGUUGACGUGUACCUGCAGAAGAAGCGCCGGCUAACUACGUGCCAGCAGCCGCGGUAAUACGUAGGGCGCAAGCGUUGUCCGGAAUUAUUGGGCGUAAAGAGCUCGUAGGUGGCUGGUCGCGUCUGCCGUGAAAGCCCGCAGCUUAACUGCGGGUCUGCGGUGGAUACGGGCCGGCUAGAGGUAGGUAGGGGCAAGUGGAAUUCCUGGUGUA
Molecule: ribosomal RNA, 591 nt
Filed under: Nonomuraea rubescens
Lineage: Bacteria; Bacillati; Actinomycetota; Actinomycetes; Streptosporangiales; Streptosporangiaceae
Description: bacterial SSU rRNA
Rfam family: Bacterial small subunit ribosomal RNA
Source: RNAcentral